RNAcentral lists this ribosomal RNA (325 nucleotides) under uncultured Streptococcus sp. Its description in RNAcentral is "bacterial SSU rRNA". It matches the Rfam family "Bacterial small subunit ribosomal RNA", at positions 1055 to 1382 of the family's 1533-position model. Lineage: Bacteria; Bacillati; Bacillota; Bacilli; Lactobacillales; Streptococcaceae. The record is from RNAcentral.
UCAGCUCGUGUCGUGAGAUAUUGGUUAAGUCCGCAACGAGCGCAACCCUACUUGUUAGUUGUCCAUCAUUCAGUUGGGCACUCUAGCGAGACUGCCGGUAAUAAACCGGAGGAAGGUGGGGAUGACGUCAAAUCAUCAUGCCCCUUAUGACCUGGGCUACACACGUGCUACAAUGGUUGGUACAACGAGUUGCGAGUCGGUGACGGCGAGCUAAUCUCUUAAAGCCAAUCUCAGUUCGGAUUGUAGGCUGCAACUCGCCUACAUGAAGUCGGAAUCGCUAGUAAUCGCGGAUCAGCACGCCGCGGUGAAUACGUUCCCGGGCCUU